AGAGUUUGAUCCUGGCUCAGAAUGAACGUUGGCGGCGUGGAUUAGUCAUGCAAGUCGAGCGAGAACCCCGCAAGGGGGGACAGCGGCAAACGGGGUAGUAACGGGUAGGCAACGUACCCUCGGGUCGGGGAUAGCCACGGGAAACUGUGGGUAAUACCCGAUAAUCACCUUGGUUUUUAGAGUCGAGGUGCAAAGGUGUGAUUCCACCUGAGGAGCGGCCUGCCUCGUAUUCGCUAGUUGGUGAGGUAACGGCUCACCAAGGCGUGGAUGCGUAGGGGGUGUGAGAGCAUGACCCCCACCACUGGGACUGAGAUACUGCCCAGAAACCUACGGGUGGCGGCAGUCGAGAAUCUUCGGCAAGGGGCGAAAGCCUGACCGAGCGACGCCGCGUGUGGGAUGAAGGCCCGUGGGUUGUAAACCACUGUCAGAGGGGAUGAAGUGCGUGUGAGCAAUCUCAUACGUUUGACAUAGCCUCAGAGGAAGCACGGGCUAAGUUCGUGCCAGCCGCCGCGGUAAUAC
This 519-nucleotide ribosomal RNA is filed under the name uncultured bacterium. RNAcentral's name for it is "bacterial SSU rRNA". It matches the Rfam family "Bacterial small subunit ribosomal RNA", at positions 8 to 526 of the family's 1533-position model. The record is from RNAcentral.